UAGGUGUCUCCUUCCCAUCUCAACGGAAAG
This 30-nucleotide non-coding RNA is filed under the name Mus musculus (house mouse). Lineage: Eukaryota; Metazoa; Chordata; Mammalia; Rodentia; Muridae. The record is from RNAcentral.